AGACCCCCCCCCUCUGAUACGUUUUCCAGGCAUUUAGACUAAACUCCAUCUACCGAUUUUGCCCUCGAUUAUUGACUCAACAAUUCGUGAAAAUAGAAAUUUCCCCCAACAUUUGCGAAUUCCUUCUGUCUCCUGUCCCGCCAUUCAGCGCCCAACGAAGAACCCUACUUCUGCGCAGCUUCACUUCGACGGUGGGUACGAAGCUUAGAAUCCCAGUUCGAUUCAGUAAAUUCUUAUUCCUUUUAUUUUCGAAAUCGUGAGUUCUUGUUCGUGUGACUUGUUUUUUUCGAAAAUUGCUGCACCUAGGGUUUUCAUAUUCUAGAAAUCGUUUGGGCGAUAUGGGUAUUCAAGAUUUCAUCUUGAUAGGGUCGAACCAUUCAAAUGAAUGGCGUGUGUGUGUGCCUUGUCUGAAUUUUAGAAAUGUUGCACGAAAAUUUUUAUGUAAGAUUCAUAUCUAACAAGCUCCGAUUAUUGGAGCCCGAUACCAACAUUUUUGAUUUGUUAUUGAUGCGCUCCAUUGAUUUAACAAACCAUUCCAAUUCUUGGUGAUUAUAAAUUUUUUCUGAACACCUGCAAAUUGGCAAAUACAAUCUGCAAGUGCUAUUGUUUUCUGUUAUUUCUGUCAUUGUUAUACUUGCAUAUGCUUCUUAAUUGCUGCUUAUUAUGAUGUUUGAUCACUGAUUUUUUGAGCAUAUGCUCUCUUUCAUGCUGUGGUAGUUUAAGACACCGUGUGUCAAAUUCAUCAAGCGGUUGCAGCCAUAAUCUCAGCUUAGUUUUGUGGAGAACAAACCAAGGCAAGUUCACUGAUAUCUUCGAAUUAGACACCAUUGAUAUCUUCGAAUUAGAUGCACAGCUUGAGCUCAAAUUAUGAUGCUUCUGUAUUAGAUAUAAUUGGGUUCAAUUUAUUAUGCCUUAUUGUACAAUGUAUCUACCAUUUGAUUGAGUGAUUUGUUGAAGAUUUUAUAGCAUUAUAGUUAUUGAAGAUAGCAAUUGAAACGUACUAGAGUUACGCAAGCAAUUAAGAGGGGGAGAGUUUGUGCUUUAUCUGAUAUGAAUCCUUGCCAUGGUGUAAAAUGUAUCAUUUAUAUUUCUUUGUUGUUUCAUUGAUGUUUAUUAUUUAAACCCAAAAAAUGAAUAUGUUGCUGGUUUUAUUUAUUGCAGAUUCUAUAUACUUCUAAGUUUCCAACAUUAUUGUUUAGAUGCCUGGAGGAGAACGCCCACGUGCUAGUCAUAUAUUAUAUUUGUUAUUACAAGAAAUAUUGCGUUCACAUAUUAUGCAGUUAUGUAUUGUCGUUGCAUACGUGGCUAAGUCUAGAACUAAAAAAAAAGAAAAUGUGGUUUAAAUCCCUUAAAAUAUGAUAUAAUAAGUAGGAUGCCAGACCAAGAAAAACACUUAGGUCGGAUGAUAGGCAUGAAUGAUAUUGAUUGCCUAUCAAAUUUGCGGAUGGACCGUAGUACGUUUGGGCGGCUAUGCCAAAUAUUACGGGAAAGGGGAGGGUUAAUAAAUGGUCGUCAUGUGACUGUUGAAGAACAAGUAGCUAUGUUCUUAUCUGUUAUAGCUCAUCAUAAAAAAAAACAGGAUUGUGGGAUUUGAUUUUUGGCGAUCAGGUCAAACUAUCUCAUAUUAUGUACACGCUGUUUUGGGAGCAAUUUUAAGAUUGCAUGAGCUUUUUUUAGCUAAACCCGAAGCUGUACCCGAUGAUUGCACAGACCCUCGGUGGCAAUGGUUCAAGGUAGUUUGUAUUAGAUAUGUGGUUGUGUAAUUAUGGGUUGAAGAAGAUUAUUACUUUGUAUACUAACACGUUGAUACUUGUUUCUUAUGUCUAGGGUUGUCUAGGCGCCUUAGAUGGCACCUAUAUUAACGUGAUGGUGAGUAAUGAUGACAAACCAUGCUAUAGGACCCGGAAAGGACAAAUUUCUACUAAUGUUCUAGGUGUUUGUGACCGCAAAAUGAAUUUCAUUUAUAUUCUAUCCGGAUGGGAAGGUUCCGCUGCGGACUCGAGAAUACUGAGAGACUCACUAAACAGGCCACACGGUCUAAAGGUUCCGAAAGGUUUAUACUGCAGCUAGAUCUUCUCGUAAUAUAAUAUGUUAAUGUGUUCAUAUAUAUGUUGGUUUUAUGGUAAAUAGGGGCCUAAUUUAUAUUCUGCUUUGGUUUGUUUGUGUUUCACUAGGGCAUUACUAUUUGUGUGACAAUGGUUAUGCAAAUAGCGAUGGCUUUCUAACGCCGUACAAAGACGUUAGAUAUCACUUAAAAGAGUGGGGACACGGUGCUGCCAGGCCUCAAAAUAGGGAAGAACUUUUUAACUUGAGGCAUAGUAAGGCUCGGAAUGUGAUAGAGCGAGCUUUCGGAGUCAUGAAGAUGCGUUGGGGGAUUCUCCGAUCCACCACGUUUUACCCAAUUAAAAUUCAGAAUAGGCUAAUAAUGGCAACGUUUUUGAUUAAUAAUUUUAUUCGAACACAAAUGCCAAAUGAUCCAAUAGAAGAACAAUUUGAUGCUAUGGCACAAGAUAAUGCAGAGGGUGUGGACGUAGAAACCGAUGACUUUAUUGAUACGGUGGAGUCGUCUCCUCAAUGGAAUGCCGCACGGGAUGCAUUGGCAGAGGGAAUGUGGCUACAAUACAUAAAUGGCGCCUAGGUGAUGAUUGCUUAUUAUAUUUGUUCAAUUAUUUGUGCCUUCUUUUUGGUCUACAAUAUUAAGUUGCUAUGAUGUUAGCUGGAGUUAAGCUGAGCUUGUUAAAUCAUUUAUUUCCUGAUUGUUACAUAUUGCUUCUCACUCUCUGAUUUAUAUUUUGGUUUGUUUCUUAUAAUAUUUAUUUUGGUGGACUGAUAAUUUGAUGUGUAGGAUAGAUGCUUCGUCUGAGAUAUCAACACCAUUGGUACGACGAGUAUUAUGGAUAUGCUAUGCGUCGAGAGCUGUCACCCCCUGGAUUUUAUGCAUGUCCAUAAUUUUGUUGGUUACUGAUAUUGGAAUUGGUCGUUUCAUUUGAAUUUUCAUUUUGUAACCAGCUGGUGUUUUUUUUAUUGUAAGUUUUGAAUGAAUUUCGACAGUGGUAAUGGUUUCGUGUACUUUUUAUUACGAGAAAACACUAAUGUAGUAUUCGAAUUUGCAGCCAGUGAUUACUGGAGCUUUGUUUUAAGCUAUGGAAAUGAUAUUUUGCAUAUGUUUGUGAUUAUUUCUCUGACAUAUGUUGAUAUUAGACAUUUGAUUAGUGAGAACCUAAAUUUGCUUAGUUUGUUGGUUAGGUCAUUAGUGAUUUCUUGAAAAUAGUUAUUAAAUUAGUGCAGCAUCUUGGAAAGCCAUGAAAACACACUGAGCUAUAGAAGUGCAUGUUUCCCUUUUCUCUUCAGGUUUUCUUCAGUUGACAUGUUUCAAAUAUGAUGAUACCAUCAUGAACAAGAUUUAUACACACACAAAUCUGAUGAUACCAAUUUGAAAUUGAUUGAUUACAAAUAAAUUUUUCAACUAAAUUAUAUAGAAAUGAUACCAAUCUUCCGAAUUUAUAGAAAAUUAUAGACAAUUGCUACUUUUNGAAUAUCUAAAAAAUGAGGAGUGUACAACUUGCAUCAUUGGCAGGUUCUUGAGAAUGGAAAUUAUUGCAUGAUCUUUGUGAUUUUAAGAAAUCGUGUCAAAUAUUCCCUAACUUUUAUUUUCAACCACCAUAUUAAUGGCAACAACUACAACAAAGAAAUCAAAUCAACUCUAUAAAUUGAAUUAUUGGAGAAUGCAAAUCACCUCUAUAAAUUGAAUUAUUGGGGCAACAAUUAGACGCCAUCACCAAAAAAAUUCGGAAGUCACCCUAGUUCCUUGUAAGAAAUAUUCAAAUUUUGCCGGCGAUGCCGCUCCCCGAUGUUCCCCAGCAAACUUGUUUCUUAUAUAUAAACAAGUGGGAUGCAAAGAAAGAUGAGUUAUUGCUCAAGUGUCUCAUAGAAAAAAUCGACGAAUGCAAGCCAUCACCGCCGCAGCUGUCACCACAUGCUCUUAUUUUUGCCAUGAAGAGACUAAACUCUCAACUCAAUGCAGAUUUCACCCUACUUGACAUUGAGGCGCGGGUUGAUUUCCUCCGUCAUCGAUAUGUGAGUUUCAAGUACCUAGCCAAUCUGCCGAAGACCGAUUGGGAUGCAUCGACCAAUAUUCUUCAUGCCGACGACAAUGUAUGGAGGCGGUUGUUUAAGGUUAUUUCCAACUUUCACAUUCUAAUUUUGCAAAACACUUUUCCUCAUCCAUGAGUUAUUUCGCUACGUGAUUUAUAUCUUUUAACCAUUACUUCGUUUCAUAAAUUAGGCGCUGAUCUUUUGCUUAGUUUUAGCAAUUAUGAAUGAUAGAAACUUUUUUUCUUUAUAUUUUUGGUGCAUAUCCAUCGACGGAAUAUUGUAUAGUUUCUAAAGUCAUUCUUCUUCAAAGUGUUCCGUAGGUUUUGGCCAAAAAUAAACUCACAAAUAAUCUUUGAACUUGUAGGAAAAUGCUUUUUUCCAAGCGUACCAUCACAAGGGUGAACCGGAGUACUUCCAAAUGUGCAAACUUUUCGGACUUUACGACGUGAAAGAAGAAAUAUCCCACACGGUUAUUGUGAUAGAGGACUCCUCUCCUGCCAAAAGGGAUGUGACGCACAUAGUCCUCGAUGAUUCGGCGUCGGAAGACGAAGUAACUUCUCCUAUGUUAAAACCAAAACCAAAACCAAAACCAAAUGCCUCACGCAAAUUAGACGUAGAAGAUGCAUGUUCUAGUGUGACUCCAGGGUUGCCGACUUCAUAUGCGAGUCAUGUUUACGUUCCAUGGUCGCCUAUAAAGGUCAAAUUUGCUCAACAACGGGGUCUUCUCUUCCAGCAAAAAAAGCUUUCCACGGCAAGUCGAAGGAGAAUAAAAAAUCGGAUACCACAAAUGGUGUUAGCUCGUGUGCUUCGUCCUCGCCUUUUAAAUAGUUGAGAAGGCGAUGGUAGAAUCUUUUAAAAUACUUAUGUUUUUUGAAUUAUGCUGCAUCGUUUGAUACACGAUAGCAUCGGUUAUGUUUUUGUUUUUCAAUUUGCUACUCAACAAUUUUGAAUCCGUAGGGGAAGAAUCGAACUUUUAUCAUUUUGUGAUAUUGUUGUUUUGUCGACAAUUUAAGUUAUUAUUCUCUUUUGUUUGGAAUUUAUAAAAUUUCGUUAUGUUUGGAUUACAAUGAUAUUAUGCAUUUUCAAUCUAGAACUAAACUCCACUAUCGUCAUUCACUUCAUAUUCAUAAACACCAGCCACCCUACCUCCUCUCCUCUCUCUCUCUCACACACACACACACACACACAAACAGCUAUCUGAGGAAAUGGUGACACUAGAGAUAAAGGAGGUGUUGUUUGGUGGCUGCCGCCGUGGCAUACAAAUCUUAAGUCGAAAUGUAGAAAUCACAUGAAUUGAUGAGAAUUCUUUACGAAUGAGAUCUCUAAUCAUCAAACAAUCAGGAGGAAAAAAAAAGUUGCUUGAGAUCUCUAACUCUUUACGAGCGUGGCAGCGCAGGAGGCCCUUACCCCCAGACAUGCAUCCGACGCUGCAGCUUUUCUACCAGCUGCUUGAGGCUCCUCCUCUUUCUUUUAUUUAUUCCAUAUUCUUUCGCCCUCAUAUAUUGUUUGGGACAUCUGUUUCUAUCCAUUUAAUUAAUCGAUUGUUUUUUAUUCUAGAACUAAGCAUAAUAGCUCGUUAUUUUUGAAAAAUUAAGCAACCCAGGUCACAUAAGUUAUACAUGAAAAACAUACAUACUCAUAUUGAAAGUAAUGGAAGAGAAAAGUCUUCAACAUAUAUUAGAAUUCAAAAUGAAGGCAAAAUCAGAAAACAAUACAUCACCAACUAGCAGGCAAUCUCGUGUAAAAACCAUUCUACUUGUCCAAAUUAUUAGAAAAUAAUACAUACCACCAUAAGUUCACGAGAUAUUAAAGUCGAUAUGUGAUGCUAAUAAAAAAACCCCAUACUUGAUAAAUAUGUGUUCCUCGUCUCUAUUUAUACUUCUCCUCCAGAAGGUAGUAGACGUACUCACACUUUGAUUCUUCUGGCAAACUUGUGAAUACAUCCAGGCGCUCCACUUCUUUUGCAAGCAAAUCAGUAAUUGCGAAUUUUGCUUUUUGAGACAACCUCGGUAUUGUAUCCAACUGUGCGAAAAGCUCCUUUCUCGCCUUGGAUAUGUCGAAGUCAUAGCCCAUUCGACUAGCGAUAGUCUCAAGUCUUUUGUCAGUUGUGCUGUUGAUCUCACCCAAAAGCUCAUACAGCUUAUCGAGCCCCUCGUCGUGCUUUCUUUUUUUGCUCACACCACGAACAGAUUCAGACUUCUUGGUUUGACUAACGCUAUCACCGAUAUCGACUUGCUCGAACUGUCAUCUAGUGGCACGCGAUUAUCGCCAUCGACUCGUGGUUGGCUCAAGUCGAUGUUGUGAUACAUCUCAUGUGCUGCAUCCAUGAGAUCUUCAGCUAUAUCGCCCGUUGCACGAUCCUUGCCAAAAAUUUCAGUCCAUUGAUCGAAGUAGGGCCAGCUCUUGUAACGCAUUUUUGUUGCGUUCCCAUCCUUCUACAAUGUACAAAAUCAGCUAGUUAGAAACAAAGCAAAACUCGAAUACAUUACAAAGAAGAGUGACAGACUACUACCUUCACAAUCGCCUCCCAUUGUUCAUCGUCACAGUCAAUCAUGUUGGUGCCGUUCAAGUUGAAUCCCGCUCCACUUUUGCCCAUCAUUGUUGUUAACGAGUUAUAGUUUUUCUUCCAUAUUGUUACCUUCGAAUUGAUAUGUGGCAUUCCCUUCAAAUCAGUCGUUGGAAAUUUCUUUUUCAUCGCCUCCUCCAAUUUGUUUAGAUAUCCGGCGCGAAAGCCGUUAUCGGAUUUCCAUCCUUGAGCCACUAAUUCCUUCAAGGCAGCCAACAAGAUUUCUUCCUCAUAUGUUGACCAGCUACGACGAGUCUUGUCGGUCUUAUUUAUUCGACCACCACGAACAAAUCCGCUACUUCCUGCUACAAUUCAUCGAAGCAUCAAUAGCAUGUGUAACAUACACAAAUAAGGUCGGGCAGACAACAAAGUAUUGGACUUUUCGAUCAAAACACAACUCAUAUACACAACAAAACAACAAGGUUUUCUAUUAGACAAAAGAAUAAUAUGUUUCAAUUUUUAAAAAGUAGUAAUCAAUAUUAAACACAUAUCACUUUCGGCAGAGAGUUCUUUUAAAACUAUUCCACACCAUAAUAGAUUUCAGAAGUUAUACAAGCACGACAACAAAUGAUAUGAACUAAUUCCAAGUGAUGUAAAACCGAAAACAAGAUACAUGUUUCUCUACUUCACCAACUUGUUGCACGAAAUCUUCAUAAAACGCUAGAUGUCACGAAUUCAACAUAAUACUCAAAAGAUGAGUUGUAUUACUGACUAUGAUUCGCGGUAUUUCGAAUCCAAAUAUAAUGAAUCGAACGAAAAUAACAUACAAGUACAGCUGUUCUAUUCCGAUUACUGUUCCUUUGGCAAGAAACACGCAAAAAACAAAUAACCAGUAACAAGUAAAAACGAUGACAUUUUCUGGAUCGAAGCAUAACAUACCUUGCAUCGCGGAACUCAUGAUCGAUGUUGCGCAACUAUUCACAGAUCUGUUUUUUCCCCACCGAAUACGUUCUACCUUCUGAAGCCCUAGUCUUUUUGGCGCGAUGAUAGUUCUUACGAUAUGUAAAAAAAUCUUGAAAUAUAUCGGCGGGUUUAGAAAAGGAUACGCUGGUCCAAAGGCAAUUAAUGGAUGGGUUUUUGUGAUUUUUUAUCUAUUAAUUUAGGGCAGAUUUUUAGCUAUCAAACACGAACAUUGUGUGACUGUCAUAUGUAAUUUAUGUAUCAAACGCAGAAGAUUAGGAAAUAAUCUCCACUAAUCUACUAGAGGUAACUGCCGAUAUUUUUUCUGGCCACAACCGUGAUGGGGAAUCAAACGUGCCCUUAGAUUCAAAUUUGAGCUUAGGUCCUCAGUCUUCGUCCUCCCUAAACUGAAAGAAGUAGCGUCCUUUCUUUCGUAGGUGAGGGUGCUGCAGAAUAAAGCAGCACGAAAAAGAAAACUCCGCACUCCGAAAGAUGAUUCUGCAGAUCUUCGUAUUAAAUGCAGUUGUACUUGGAGUCAGCUGCUUACUUUCCAAGUGGCUUCUUUUGAAACGAAUAAAACAUAAAACAUCCUUAAAUUGAGAAUCAGUUUGGGACAGAGAAUAAGUCUGAGGUUUCAACUGAUACUUUACUUCAGCAUCAGUCUCUGCUUUGAUUUUGAUUAAAUUUUGAUUUCAACUUGUAUUUAAUUUUAAUAUUUUUUUAUUAAAUCUACAUUGAUUGAAAAUAAAAAUUGGAUUACAAUAAAAAUAAAGUCCUAAAUUACUUCAAAUUUAAAAAGAAUUGGCUUUCACUGAAGAAGGUGGAAGAAUCAAAAAACGCAAUGAAUCAGCAGUCUUGAGUCACUUUUACAUGUCUUCUUCUUCUUUGUCUGAUGGAGAGUCAGAGAGAAUAGCAGAAAUUGUUGUAAAGGCGCAAAAAAUUGUCCAAUAAGUUUUCAAAAACCAAGUACCCCAAAGAGUUAUUCCAAACUAAAAAGUUAAGAAUUCAAAAUCACUUUUAUGUCUCAUUACAAAUGUCUCAGUUUUUAUAAUGGAAUGUCCAAUUACAAAUGUCUCAUUCUUUUUUUGGCAAAUAAUUAAGAAGCUAAUUAACUCUCUCUGUGUCUACUUUUACAAAUCUCAAUUUAUUUAUCUCUCUCCACUAACUAACUUUUCUACUAAUUACAUAUUCUCAAUCUCGUGCCCAAAAGUAAUGAACAGAGUAAUUCAUAUGACUUAACAUGAUGAGUCAACUCAAUAUAGACUUGACUCAUAAGUGGUCUGAAGAUGAAUGAGUAAGUAUUGACUCAACCAAUAUGCAUGCUCUAAGGGCUCCACUAGUGGGGGGUGCGGAAGGCGGUGCACCACCCUCCCCCUCUCCCCCAUAUUGCCGCCACCCUCUCUCUAUGCACCCAUCCCUUCCCACCACACCCGGUGCAGACGGCCAUUCUAUUGGGCCCAUGUAUACCACGGCCUAAUCAGAUUUUUUAAGCCAUUAAUUUAAAAAAAAAUUCAAAAAAUCAGAAACAACUAUUUUGCAUUUGGCAACAUUUUUUUGGCAGAGAACCGUUUCCAAACGGCAUUUUUGUAUUUUUUUCUUUUCUUUAUCUCUAUAUUGCUUCUAUAAAUUGGAGAGCUCUCCUAUUCAAUUUCUAACACAAUUCUAUCUUCAUCUUCUUUCUAUAUAUAUUUUUUUUGUGGUAAAAAAAUGGAUGAUAGUUGGAAAAAAUNUUGUGUGACUGUCAUAUGUAUUUUAUGUAUCAAACGCAGAAGAUUAGGAAAUAAUCUCCACUAAUCUACGAGAGGUAACCGCCGAUAUUUUUUC
RNAcentral lists this long non-coding RNA (9385 nucleotides) under Salvia miltiorrhiza (redroot sage). RNAcentral's name for it is "long non-coding RNA (SMIL_LNC005706)". The record is from RNAcentral. Lineage: Eukaryota; Viridiplantae; Streptophyta; Magnoliopsida; Lamiales; Lamiaceae.